UCGAGAAUUUUUGGCAAUGGGGGAAACCCUGACCAAGCGAUGCCGCGUGCGGGAUGAAGGCCUUCGGGUUGUAAACCGCUGUCAGUGGGGAGAAAAGGAUGGUGAGUUAUCUCAUCAUUUUGAUCUAUCCGCAGAGGAAGUGUAGGCUAAGCUCGUGCCAGCAGCCGCGGUAAGACGAGCUACACAAACGUUAUUCGGAAUUACUGGGCUUAAAGGGUGCGUAGGCUGCGCGGAAAGUUGGGUGUGAAAUCCCUCGGCUCAACCGAGGAACUGCGCCCAAAACUACCGUGCUCGAGGAAGAUAGAGGUGAGCGGAACUUACGGUGGAGCGGUGAAAUGCGUUGAUAUCGUAAGGAACACCCGUGGCGAAAGCGGCUCACUGGGUCUUUUCUGACGCUGAUGCACGAAAGCUAGGGGAGCAAACGG
This 425-nucleotide ribosomal RNA is filed under the name uncultured bacterium. RNAcentral describes it as "bacterial SSU rRNA". It matches the Rfam family "Bacterial small subunit ribosomal RNA", at positions 355 to 775 of the family's 1533-position model. The record is from RNAcentral.